AUGGCUCAGAUUGAACGCUGGCGGCAGGCUUAACACAUGCAAGUCGAGCGGCAGCACGGGGAGCUUGCUCCCUGGUGGCGAGCGGCGGACGGGUGAGUAAUGCAUAGGAAUCUGCCCGGUAGUGGGGGAUAACCUGGGGAAACCCAGGCUAAUACCGCAUACGUC
This 165-nucleotide ribosomal RNA is filed under the name Modicisalibacter ilicicola DSM 19980. RNAcentral describes it as "Halomonas ilicicola DSM 19980 16S rRNA. Bacterial SSU". It matches the Rfam family "Bacterial small subunit ribosomal RNA", at positions 19 to 179 of the family's 1533-position model. Lineage: Bacteria; Pseudomonadati; Pseudomonadota; Gammaproteobacteria; Oceanospirillales; Halomonadaceae. The record is from RNAcentral.